This 349-nucleotide unclassified non-coding RNA is filed under the name Hevea brasiliensis (rubber tree). The record is from RNAcentral. Lineage: Eukaryota; Viridiplantae; Streptophyta; Magnoliopsida; Malpighiales; Euphorbiaceae.
GUUUGCGUAAGGCCUUCCUCUCUCCAUGUCGUGAAUGAUCGACCGACAACCCAUCACGCCCUUGUUCAAAUUGGGAACCAAUUUCAACAGCAACUUCAUCUCUAGGAGAACUUGUUCCACUCUGAUGAAUACUCGUUCGUUCACACUGUGCCUUUGAACAGUUGUUCACAUGUGAGACAUUCAAUGAUUGCGAAUGACUCUUCACACCGGUGUGCAUCCAUUCCUGAAUAAUUUGUCUCACUCUUUCGCGUUCAACCUCCCCAAGAUCACUAGAUCGAUCUGAGCUAACACUGCGGCCAUCAUCAAAGUAAUUAUCUAACUCGAUAUGGCUUUGAUUUUGGUCCUCAUU